UACGUAGGGGCCGAGCGUUGUCCGGAGUUAUUGGACGUAAAGCGCGCGCAGGCGGCCUCGCGCGCCCGACGUGAAAGCCCCCGGCUUAACCGGGGAGGGUCGUUGGGGACGGCGGGGCUUGAGGGCGGGAGAGGUCGGUGGAAUUCCCGGUGUAGUGGUGAAAUGCGUAGAGAUCGGGAGGAACACCUGUGGCGAAGGCGGCCGACUGGGCCGACCCUGACGCUGAGGAGCGAAAGCGUGGGGAGCAAACAGG
Molecule: ribosomal RNA, 253 nt
Filed under: uncultured bacterium
Lineage: Bacteria
Description: partial 16S ribosomal RNA
Rfam family: Bacterial small subunit ribosomal RNA
Source: RNAcentral